GCCAAAUGGCAGUGGACAGCAGAGUCUGGAGCCAGAGUUUGUUUUUCAGCUUUCCAUCUGGGGAGCUGUAAACAAGGCAAUGGAGUAUUUGAAAACAAACCUGCCCCACCCCGAACGGCUGUCAUGACAUUACGCAAAACAACAGAUUUUUCAUCGACUGUCCAUCCUCCAGAAAGGAAAGGCAGCAUUGAGGCCAAUGUACUGGGCGGCAGUGUAAUAUAAUAGUUGGGCCCGAGCCAGGCUCUGUUGCGUCCUUCAGGAGGAGAGAUUCUCGCUGGUGAUUUCCGGGAGACGUUCAAACCGGCCAACUUUUUUCUAACUGACGGCUUACGACAGUCAUAACGUAGAUUACAGAAACUUCCCCCUGACAUUUUGGUUGAGGAUCCCAGGAAUGGUCUCCCAAGCAUCGGCCGAACCCAGGCCACAGAAAAAUAGUGGCAGGUAGCUGCAGAGGCAUGGACAGACACUACCCUUAGCUUUCUGAAAUCUUCACAGAGGCCGCAAGGACGCCAGAGUGCCACCGAGGCCAAACCGGAGGAGGGGAGGUGCUGCCAAACUGACGAACCGCCAGCUGCCCCCCACUGAGCGGGCCUGUGUGGGAGUUUCCGACAGCCAACAGAAAGUAUCACCUGGGACUGACUGUGGGUGUCCACAGGUCAUCAGGCCCUAACGGGAGUUCUUGCGAGCCAUUAGGACCGAGUCGAUUGUGUGGGGCCUGGCUGCAGGUGUUCCUCUCUCCCGUGGAGCGAGAGAUUGGACUAGCGUGUUUACUGAGUGGGAGAUCGAGAGGCUUAUUUGCGUGGUGGCUCAGCUGGUCCUCCAACCAGUCAAUGAACUCCCUCACCGUCCCGAGAGUCGGUUAAAGAAACCGGCUAAACCGAGCGGCUUCUGCUUUUACCCUCCCGGAGCGUUUUCCCCCAUUAAUUCCUAGGAAUACAUUUUAAUUCAGACUAAGAAACAACCAGAAAUAGAGUCUUUAUUCCACAGCAGAGUAUGGCCUGAAUCAGGGGAAGUGAAAGUCUGAGAAAAAGGAUGAAAGGGUAAUGUUACAUUACAUUACCGGCAUUAGCAGAUGCUGUUAUCCGGAGCGACUUACACAACAUCUAUUUUGUUACAUAGCAUUUAUAUUGCAGCCAUUUAUACUGCGGGAUAUAUACUGAAGCAAUGCUUGUAUAUUGCUAGCACUCUCCUCAAUUCACUACAUUCAUUUGAGCACUUUCCUUUACCUAGAAACCAGGUUUACUACAGAAAACAGCAUGGAAGGACGCUAGUCAGAAAUUGUAGCAGACUGUUACAGGGUUAUUGUGGAUGCAGUGACCCCACCACUUGCCACCUACACCAAAGUGCAUGUCAGCGACACACCAAAGUGAGUGUCAGGCAGGACAAUGGCUUAGAUGGUGGAGCUGAAACAGGAUAGCACAGGAGCAUGCUGGGUAAUUUCCCUGCAACAUGAAAGGAUAUGAGAAGUGUGUCAUGUGACCGGACGAGCCGAUAAUGUCUCCUGGAGGGAGAGUCACCCCUUUUCACUCAGGCGGUCACUCUGGUGGCUGGUAGUGAUUUUUAUUUGGGGAGGGGGGGGGGGCAGGGGAUGGUGCACAAUGCUUUUGAGCUUUGGAACCAGUUGCCUGUGAUGUAACAUAAAAGGAUUCAGGACCUCCCAUUUUUCAGCCCGGGGGGUUACAUAACCGGAGAUAAGUAUAAGGGAAGGGGACUGCAUGUAACUCUGGACCUGCAUAAAAUAUUAAAAUACCUGAAAAACGGCCUCACUUGCAGUGCCUCAGUCUAUAGUCCA
This is a long non-coding RNA of Anguilla anguilla (European eel), 1792 nucleotides long. RefSeq lists it as uncharacterized. The record is from RefSeq and is a predicted model, not a curated record. Lineage: Eukaryota; Metazoa; Chordata; Actinopteri; Anguilliformes; Anguillidae. The transcript has 6 exons.